GUGAAAUUGUUGAAAGGGAAGCGCUUGCAGCCAGACUUGCCUGCGAUGCUCAGCCGGGCUUCUGCCCGGUGCACUCGUCCGCAGGCAGGCCAGCAUCAGUUCGGGCGGCUGGAUAAAGGCCCCGGGAAUGUGGCUCCCUCCGGGGAGUGUUAUAGCCCGGAGCGCAAUGCAGCCAGCCCGGACUGAGGUCCGCGCAUCUGCUAGGAUGCUGGCGUAAUGGCUGUAAGCGGCCCGUCUUGAAACACGGACCAAGGAGUC
RNAcentral lists this ribosomal RNA (258 nucleotides) under uncultured fungus. Its description in RNAcentral is "partial 28S ribosomal RNA". It matches the Rfam family "Eukaryotic large subunit ribosomal RNA", at positions 399 to 675 of the family's 3401-position model. The record is from RNAcentral. Lineage: Eukaryota; Fungi.